UGCCAGCCGCCGCGGUAAGACGGAGGGUGCUAGCGUUGUUCGGAAUCACUGGGCGUAAAGGGCGCGUAGGCGGCCUAGCCAGUCAGAUGUGAAAGCCCAGGGCUCAACCCUGGAACUGCAUUUGAUACUGCUAAGCUAGAGUUCGAGAGAGGGAAGUGGAAUACCCAGUGUAGAGGUGAAAUUCGUAGAUAUUGGGUGGAACACCAGUGGCGAAAGCGGCUUCCUGGCUCGAUACUGACGCUGAGGCGCGAAAGCGUGGGGAGCAAACAGGAUUAGAUA
This 279-nucleotide ribosomal RNA is filed under the name uncultured bacterium. RNAcentral's name for it is "partial 16S ribosomal RNA". It matches the Rfam family "Bacterial small subunit ribosomal RNA", at positions 506 to 784 of the family's 1533-position model. The record is from RNAcentral.